Molecule: transfer RNA, 77 nt
Filed under: Yersinia aldovae
Lineage: Bacteria; Pseudomonadati; Pseudomonadota; Gammaproteobacteria; Enterobacterales; Yersiniaceae
Description: tRNA-Pro(tgg)
Rfam family: tRNA
About the family: Transfer RNA (tRNA) molecules are approximately 80 nucleotides in length. Their secondary structure includes four short double-helical elements and three loops (D, anti-codon, and T loops).
Source: RNAcentral
CGGCGAGUAGCGCAGCUUGGUAGCGCAACUGGUUUGGGACCAGUGGGUCGGAGGUUCGAAUCCUCUCUCACCGACCA